AUGGAUGGAAAUGCAGCAGCUGAUGGGGGUGAGCCCCCCUAUGAUCCAAUGAAAGAUCCAACAAGGAAGCCACAACGGUCAAAUGAUCCGGGAUGGAACUAUGGAUAUUGGUCUGAGCCUCCAAACCGGGAUCUUGUUGUGUGCGCUCUUUGUGGCAAGAUAACUUCCGGAGGGAUCAAGAGGCAUAAGGAGCAUGUUGCGGGCGUCGGGGGUGAUGCAAUUGGUUGUCCUAAGGCCACCACACAACUGAGAAGAGAAAUGAGAGCAUAUUUGGAGCAAAAUAGGAGGAUCAAGGGAGUAGUAGAUGUAGAUGAUGAUCAGGAGGUUGUGGAGGUGAGUUCAGUUGGAGCAAACAUCGCCUCUAAAAGGCCAAGCUCAGGGACAGCAGCCAGACAGAAUAAGAAAGCGUUUAUCAUCAACAUGCAAGGUAAAAAGAAGUCUGUUACUGCUGCCGCCAAUAGUUCCAAGCCAAUUGUUGCCAUGUUACAAAGAACACCUGAGGAUCUUGUAGAUGAAAGGCGCUCUGGGUGUUCUCAAAGCACCAUGGAGUCCAGCACAAAGACUCAUGAAGAGAGGCAUUAUGUCAGUAUGCAGUGGGCGUUGUUCUUUUACGAGUGUGGCAUUCCAUUUAAUGCUGCAAAUAGUAGGCAGUUUGAGGUUGCAAAUGAAGCCUCAUGUCAAUAUGGUUCAGGUUACAAGCCACCUAGUGCACAUGAGCUGAGAGAGCCAUUGCUUAAUGAUUGUGUGAAGGAAACAUGA
Molecule: ribosomal RNA, 759 nt
Filed under: Triticum aestivum (bread wheat)
Lineage: Eukaryota; Viridiplantae; Streptophyta; Magnoliopsida; Poales; Poaceae
Description: partial small subunit ribosomal RNA
Source: RNAcentral